This is a long non-coding RNA of Odocoileus virginianus texanus, 515 nucleotides long. RefSeq lists it as uncharacterized. The record is from RefSeq and is a predicted model, not a curated record. Lineage: Eukaryota; Metazoa; Chordata; Mammalia; Artiodactyla; Cervidae.
CAGCCAAGACCACACCGCUCCCUCUGGGGCGGAGGGCAACGUGGCCUGUGCUGGCCUGGGAAGUCAGCCGAUCACAGUGAGGGGUCAGACCGGAGGACGGCUCUGAACGCCAGGAGCAAAGAGACACCCGGAUGCCCAGCACACAGGCGGGCCCGUCCGAGAAGGUCAGGAAGAUGACUCCCUGAGGGGCAUCGUCCUCCGCAACCGAAGGGGAAGCGUGGCUGCCACUGUGGAAGCAAGCCGGCCGGACAAGCAGCGGCCCAGACCCAAAGCUUAAUUAGAGGCUGAGAGUCCAAAAAUGAAAUCCGUCAUCCCAAGUUCUCUGUCAGCUCACUCGCCAAGCAAAAAGGGAGAGGUAUGGAUGUGUUGCACCCUCCCAGCCCACCAGCGAAGACGGAGAGCAGAGGAGAGCAUUAGCAUUUAAGUGGCCUGUUAAUGUCUGGAAGCCUAAACAGUCACAGAACAGCAAUAAAGGAGCUCUUCAAAUGUUGCUGGAGAAUGUCCAUAAAGAGGAU